AAAGGAGCAAUCCGCUUUGAGAUGGCCUCGCGUCCGAUUAGCUAGUUGGUGAGGUAACGGCCCACCAAGGCGACGAUCGGUAGCCGGACUGAGAGGUUGAACGGCCACAUUGGGACUGAGACACGGCCCAGACUCCUACGGGAGGCAGCAGUGGGGAAUAUUGCACAAUGGGGGAAACCCUGAUGCAGCGACGCCGCGUGGAGGAAGAAGGUCUUCGGAUUGUAAACUCCUGUUGUUGAGGAAGAUAAUGACGGUACUCAACAAGGAAGUGACGGCUAACUACGUGCCAGCAGCCGCGGUAAAACGUAGGUCACAAGCGUUGUCCGGAAUUACUGGGUGUAAAGGGAGCGCAGGCGGGAAGACAAGUUGGAAGUGAAAUCUAUGGGCUUAACCCAUAAACUGCUUUCAAAACUGUUUUUCUUGAGUAGUGCAGAGGUAGGCGGAAUUCCCGGUGUAGCGGUGGAAUGCGUAGAUAUCGGGAGGAACACCAGUGGCGAAGGCGGCCUACUGGGCACCAACUGACGCUGAGGCUCGAAAGUGUGGGUAGCAAACAGGAUUAGAUACCCUGGUAGUCCACACUGUAAACGAUGAUUACUAGGUGUUGGAGGAUUGACCCCUUCAGUGCCGCAGUUAACACAAUA
RNAcentral lists this ribosomal RNA (641 nucleotides) under uncultured bacterium. RNAcentral describes it as "bacterial SSU rRNA". It matches the Rfam family "Bacterial small subunit ribosomal RNA", at positions 202 to 862 of the family's 1533-position model. The record is from RNAcentral.